This 330-nucleotide ribosomal RNA is filed under the name uncultured eukaryote. RNAcentral's name for it is "partial 18S ribosomal RNA". It matches the Rfam family "Eukaryotic small subunit ribosomal RNA", at positions 1470 to 1796 of the family's 1831-position model. The record is from RNAcentral.
CCCUUAGAUGUUCUGGGCCGCACGCGCGCUACACUGAUGCAUUCAACAAGCCUAGCCUUGACCGAGAGGUCCGGGUAAUCUUUGAAACUGCAUCGUGAUGGGGCUAGAUUAUUGCAAUUAUUAAUCUUCAACGAGGAAUGCCUAGUAAGCGUGAUUCAUCAAAUCGCGUUGAUUACGUCCCUGCCCUUUGUACACACCGCCCGUCGCUCCUACCGAUUGAAUGGUUUAGUGAGAUCCUUGGAUCGGCCCUGUCGCGGCUGGCAACGGCCGCGUCGGCGCGUCGAGAAGACGAUCAAACUUGAUCAUUUAGAGGAAGUAAAAGUCGUAACA